GACGAACCGAGCGAACGUUAUUCGGAAUCACUGGGCUUAAAGGGCGCGUAGGCGGGCCGGCAAGUCCGGGGUGAAAGCCCCCAGCUCAACUGGGGAAGUGCCUCGGAUACUGUCGGCCUCGAGGGAGGUAGGGGCGUGCGGAACUUCCGGUGGAGCGGUGAAAUGCGUAGAUAUCGGAAGGAACACCGGUGGCGAAAGCGGCGCGCUGGACCUCUUCUGACGCUGAGGCGCGAAAGCCAGGGGAGCGAACGGG
Molecule: ribosomal RNA, 253 nt
Filed under: uncultured bacterium
Lineage: Bacteria
Description: partial 16S ribosomal RNA
Rfam family: Bacterial small subunit ribosomal RNA
Source: RNAcentral